Molecule: ribosomal RNA, 209 nt
Filed under: uncultured bacterium
Lineage: Bacteria
Description: partial 16S ribosomal RNA
Rfam family: Bacterial small subunit ribosomal RNA
Source: RNAcentral
UUCGUACGGUGGCUCGCUAAGUCAGACGUGAAAUCCCUCAGCUUAACUGGGGAACUGCGUCUGAGACUGGCAAGCUCGAGUGCAGGAGAGGAACGCGGAAUUCCAGGUGUAGCGGUGAAAUGCGUAGAUAUCUGGAGGAACACCGGUGGCGAAGGCGGCGUUCUGGACUGCAACUGACACUGAUGAACGAAAGCCAAGGGGAGCAAACG